CCACUUACCUCAUAUUAACAUAUACCAUAAAAUAUCAAAUCUUAAAUUAUAAAUAAUUAAUAAUUCCCAUAAGAUAAAUAUAUUACUCCAAAUUAUAUAUAAUAUUUCAAAUUAUAAAUUUACAAAAUAAAGUUAAAUCACCAAGUUAAAGUUUAAAUAACUUUUACAAUAACUAUAAAUAAUUAGAGAGAUAAUUUGUAUUGUUUUUUUAGAGCCAUUGAUUUUGAUUUUGAUCAAAGGCCCAAAAUCAUUUUGUCUAUCUAUCCUCACACUUUCUUCCUAUUGGUCAAUUUGUUUAUGGCAUGGAUCACAACAAAUCAAUGGUUCACAGCCAUUCAUUAACUCUCAUCCAACGGAUACAAUUAAACACAUUUAUUAUUAUUUUUUUCUUUUCUUCUUCCUCCUUUUCUCGUUUCUUGUUUCUCAGAUUUCUCUCCUCUCUCUUCUCUCUCACAGUCACGACACUGCAUCUCUUUUUCUUUUCAAUUGCUCGUCGGAAAUCGAAAGCCCUGAUUUCAGAGACUUGAAGUUAUGAUGUGAAGUGCCAAAUUCGGAUUGUCUCCCUGUCUGAAACUGUUGAUGAAAGUUUGAAUCUUUUUCUGUUUUUGUUUUGAAAACUGGGUUUCAAGAUAACCAGGAGAUGAAGAAGAUGAAGAACAGCCGGAGAUGGAGAGAAGAGGCGGAGGCAGAGGAAUAAGCAACGAUGGAGAAGAAGAAGAAGAAGAAGAAGAAGAAGAAGGAGAGCAGACAGAGACGCAAAUAGGAGGAGGAUGGAGUAGGAAGAUGACGAGCAGAUCGAACGGUGGUGGUCGUGGCUGGUGGUCUAGGCGUCGUGGCGGCGGAGAUCGAAGAAGAACGUGAUUUAGUUAGGCUUAGUUAGGUUAGGUUUGGUUAGGGUUAGUUAAUAAACCAGAUUUGUAUGUAAACCGGUUUUUGUAAUAAACCCAUACAUUUGUAAACCAAAAUUUUUAAUAAUAAAUAUUUCUUUUCACAAA
Raphanus sativus (radish) is the source of this 995-nucleotide long non-coding RNA. RefSeq lists it as uncharacterized. The transcript has 2 exons. The record is from RefSeq and is a predicted model, not a curated record. Lineage: Eukaryota; Viridiplantae; Streptophyta; Magnoliopsida; Brassicales; Brassicaceae.